This 1933-nucleotide long non-coding RNA is filed under the name Drosophila guanche. Lineage: Eukaryota; Metazoa; Arthropoda; Insecta; Diptera; Drosophilidae. The record is from RNAcentral.
CUAAGCGAUAGAGAUUAAUAUUGAAUAAAACCCCAAAUUGUCAGAAAUAAACCAAUCCUGUGUUUUUACUUGGUCGUCGAGGCAACAAUAUAAAUUCGUUGCAACCACCCAAUUUCCCGCUGAGUCAGCCCAGCACAGGUCACGAGACCCGGAAAAAGGGUUCGUUACAACUGGCGCCCAACGUGGGGCCUCACGACCAAAACAAGUAAAAAACGUAAGGAAAGGUGGUCUGAUAGAUCAAAGGGCACGAUGGGAAAAGGACAAUGGAUCCACAAUUUGAGGAAAGAGGAUCUGGUGCAAUGCGCUCAGGCGGUUGGCGUACGAUUAGAGGGGACGCUAGACGAGAUGAGGAAGGCGUUCAAAGAGUGGGUUAGAGAACACGGCGGAGAGCCAGAGUAUGCGGAUCUACUGGAGGUCUGGGAAUGUCGGGCGAGCAGAACGUCGCCGAUGCCUCGGGCUGACGACAAGCUGGCCACAUAUGAGCAACUCGCUCUACCUCAAGGGAAGGCGGCGGCGGCGCUAUGGACGUUCCCGGCUGAGUUUCAGCAGGAGCUCAUCGCGAGCCUGGCGGUGCCCGAGCGGUCGGUCACUCCGACACCCAGCCGGCAUCGACAGGCAAGCCGAGACAGAAGCCGAGACCCGGAAAGGGGGUUCCAUGAGCCACAAGGCCCCCGGCCGGCACCCCUGGACUACGCUAAGGUGGCCAAGCAGGUGAGAGAGUGGUCAUUUCGGUUCGACGGAACGACGAAGCCUCUCGAGUUCUUGGAGCAGGUCGAGUGGUCAGCCGAGACGUACGGGCUAGAUCCGGACCUGAUCCCAAGGGCGAUGCCGGAGCUCCUGAAGGGGCGGGCGCUGAUGUGGUUUGUGGCCAACAAUCGGCAAUGGAAGACGUGGAAAGACUUCUCCAGAAGCUUCCAAGCGUAUUUCUUGCCAAGAGGAUAUUUUGAGAAGCUGCUGCAGGAGGUGAGGAUGCGGAAACAGAGGUGGGGAGAGCCAUUCAAAGAUUACAUGGUGGAGAUGCAGACUCUCAUGAGGCCCCUGAAGUGUCCACAGGAAGAGCAAACGGAACUAAUAAGGGAGAAUAGCAUGCCGGAUCUGAGGGCGUACAUGCGACCGCAUAGAUGCCGCGAUUUGGAGUCGAUGAUGGUUUUGGCAGACGAAUUCGAGGCACUAGAGAGAGAUCGCGAGGAGUUCCAACGGGAGAAUCCGGUCAUAAGGGCGCGAGCCGCAAAUCCGUUCAGCAAGCCGGCGGGAGCAGAAGUGUGCCGUCGGUGCACAGAAGGGACGCGGGCAGCGUUGCCGGCUCAGACGACGGCUAUUGUGAACAUGUACGUUCAGAACCCGGAACAGGCAUGCAGAAGGUGUGGGAGCGGGGAGCAUUGGUCAAGAGAGUGCCAAGCUCGGCCCCUCACGUACUGCUGGAUGUGCGGGAAGGUGGGAAUGCCGACGCGGGAGUGCUGCCGGAAAGCGGGAAACGCCCCGCGACCCCAGCCGCGGAGGGCCGUGCCCGGGUCGCAAGAAACCGCCCCCACAACCUAGUCGGAGGACUGAGAAGGGAGGAGGCCCAGCUGUCAGCCGCCGUGGCCAUCGGAGGAACGGAGUGGCGGGCAACGCUGGACACGGGAGCCACCAGCAGCUUCAUCAGCUGGGAGUUGGCCGAAAAGGUGAAGGGGCGGGGGAGAGAGGUUGCGGUGAGGAAGCGAGUGCGGCUGGCAGAUGGCCACAGUCAGGAGGUGACUCGCCAACUCAAGGUAAAGGUGGCAUUCGGGAGCCGGGAGAUUGAGAUGGCGCUGCUGAUUCUGCCAGGAAUCAUUGACGAAUUGGUGUUGGGUUGGGAUUUCCUCCAAGCGGUCGGGGCAGAGAUGACCUGUGCGGGCCACAGGGUGGUGAUUCCUGCCCAAGAUCGAGUGCAAAAAGGCACGGAAGAAAGGCU